GUGGGGAAUAUUGGACAAUGGGCGAAAGCCUGAUCCAGCCAUGCCGCGUGUGUGAAGAAGGUCUUCGGAUUGUAAAGCACUUUAAGUUGGGAGGAAGGGCAGUAAGUUAAUACCUUGCUGUUUUGACGUUACCGACAGAAUAAGCACCGGCUAACUUCGUGCCAGCAGCCGCGGUAAUACGAAGGGUGCAAGCGUUAAUCGGAAUUACUGGGCGUAAAGCGCGCGUAGGUGGUUUUGUAAGUUGGAGGUGAAAUCCCCGGGCUCAACCUGGGAACUGCCUCCAAAACUGCAUGACUAGAGUACGGUAGAGGGUAGUGGAAUUUCCUGUGUAGCGGUGAAAUGCGUAGAGAUCUGGAGGAAUACCGAUGGCGAAGGCAGCCAUCUGGCCUAAUACUGACACUGAGGUGCGAAAGCAUGGGGAGCAAACAGGAUUAGAUACCCCGGUAGUCC
Molecule: ribosomal RNA, 450 nt
Filed under: uncultured bacterium
Lineage: Bacteria
Description: bacterial SSU rRNA
Rfam family: Bacterial small subunit ribosomal RNA
Source: RNAcentral